GUGGCUCAGUGGUAGAGUGCUUGCCUUGCAUGCAUGAGGCCCUGGGUUCAUUCUCAGC
RNAcentral lists this transfer RNA (58 nucleotides) under Dipodomys ordii (Ord's kangaroo rat). It matches the Rfam family "tRNA", at positions 7 to 64 of the family's 71-position model. Rfam says of the family: Transfer RNA (tRNA) molecules are approximately 80 nucleotides in length. Their secondary structure includes four short double-helical elements and three loops (D, anti-codon, and T loops). Lineage: Eukaryota; Metazoa; Chordata; Mammalia; Rodentia; Heteromyidae. The record is from Rfam by way of RNAcentral.